This is a long non-coding RNA of Numida meleagris (helmeted guineafowl), 2103 nucleotides long. RefSeq lists it as uncharacterized. NCBI's taxonomy places the organism in Eukaryota, Metazoa, Chordata, Aves, Galliformes, Numididae. The transcript is spliced from 4 exons. The record is from RefSeq and is a predicted model, not a curated record.
GAUGGACACCAAGCUCAUAAUCUCAGUUCUCUAAAAUAUUUCCACAGUGGAAAAAAAAUCUGAAAGUGCCAUUACAAUCAUCAUGUAAAAACAGCAUCCAGUCACUCUCUGAAACAGACUUAAAGGCUGAUGCAUCUACCUACUACAAUUCUGAUUUAGGACAUAUAUGAACAGCCAAAGCAAUAGAUCUGACAGGAAAGACCUCCUUUCCAAACCAAGAAGAGAUGGGGGCAACUGCAAUUGAAUGCAAACCAAGUCCAGGACCUAAAACUGCGUUUCAAAUAUACUUACAGCUGGACCAGGUUCUCCAGGGGGACCAGGAUCUCCAGGAAAACCAACUGGACCCUAGGUUAAUCAGACCAAACCGAAAGACUCACAGAUGUUCCAGAUUCUCCAGGAGGUCCAGGGUUACCAGCUUCUCCAGGUUCACCCUGUACACGUGUGAGGAUAAAUUGAUGAGUCAUUAGGUAGAAUAUUUCUGUGAAUUUGUUUCUGUUAUAACAUAUUUUUUGCAUGCUUAUUCAUGAUAACAGCUUACAGGAGUUUUUAUUACAAUUUAUUACAAAGUAAUUGGUACACAUGUUUCUGCAGAACUGGAAUCUGAAAUUUUAGAAACAACCUUUCAAACUAAGCUUUUAGUAAGACAGGGAGACUAACUUUCCCUUUGGGCUUUGGAAGAUAUUCCCCUUUAUAAUCCCAUAUAUUGCAAAUUUCCUGUUUGUCUUUUUCCUUUCUAGGCAUAGAAAAGCCAAAGAAGUAAAAAUAUAUAUUUAUUUUUUCUUUAUAAUAUAUAUUUUUGCCUGGAAGCAAAUUCCUACAAAUAUGAUAAUAUUAAUUUGAAAUUAAUUUUAGUAGAGUGGAAACAUUAUUGCUGGAGCUACUGUUAACAUAAAUAAUUAUAUAAAGAAAAACAUAAAAUAAUAGUAUAAUGGCAUAAAGUUAGUAGAAGUUUCAUCAUAGGCCACAAAGGAAUAUGCUAUGUAUUUACUGGUGAUGGAAAUUAUUUAGUGUAUCAGAUGGCUUUGAGAAGAACACCAUACAAAGAAAAUCUAUACAAAAUCUAUCUAUAUCUAUACAUAAAUAUCUAUCUAUAUAUUUAUGUAUAGAUAUAUAAAGAUGAUAUUCAAGAUAGUAGAGAUAGUCUAUCUAGCAGAGUCUACAGUGUAGACCAAAUUCAGUAUAGCCCUUCAGUAGAGGGUCUCCACUGCAGUACUAAUUGAGUGACAUAAAAGCACUUAUUGUGCCGGGUCUUGCCUGACAAACCCUGCUGCCAGUAUAAACCCCUUUUAUGCUUCUCAGAGAGUAAGUUCCUUUCUGCCUUCCUGCCAAAGGAUAUUUUAAUUUAUGAUUCACAUUUGAUUCAAAAGCAACUCUUUACCCUUUCCCUUGAAAACUCAUCUUCAUUUUAUGAUAUCUUCCAAUGAGAGAAAAGAUGGGUUGCUUCUGACUUACUGACCUACACCUUUGGUCAACACCCAUGGAGAACACAAUGGUCCUGGGAUCUCAGGGAUCCCUGCUAUAGCACACAUUUUGAAAUUGGCAGAUGGAGGCAGCCCACAUGAGCUCACUACACAGUAAAACCACAAUAAGCAGCAGUGUGGAAGAAAUCAGAAAUAGAAGGGCAAGAAAACGUCAAGAUGUUCUCCUCGAAGGGCACUUGUGUAAGAUGAGAUCAGUUACAGUUUAAUCUGACAUUAAUACUUCAAAAUCAUAUACCGCUUUAUUAAAAAGAUGUGACUCUUCCUAUAUGCAGUCCUUGCUUUUUCAAAUACUGUUUUUUAUAUGUUACAAAUUUUAUGUAUUACAAAAGGUUGCAGCUGUUUCAGACAGCUGUUAAGGGAGUUAAACAAUGUUUUGAUAGGCAAGACUGUAGCUGAUAUAUAUUUACAGAAUACAUAUUUAUGAUUAUCAAAAACUUUGCCUUUGUCUUUCAUUGCCUUUUUGGUAAGGAUAGUAUUAAUUCAGAAUCCACUUCACCUCCUCCAUAGGAAGUAUCUCGCAUUCAGUUGGGAAAUAGAUGUUUUUGAGCGUAUAAACAGGAGGGGGAUCGAUUGUUUGUGAGGGUGGAUAGCGAUAGGACAAGGGGGAAUGGUUUUAAGCUGA